GACGAACGCUGGCGGCGUGCUUAACACAUGCAAGUCGAACGGAAAGGCCCUGCUUUUGUGGGGUGCUCGAGUGGCGAACGGGUGAGUAACACGUGAGUAACCUGCCCUUGACUUUGGGAUAACUUCAGGAAACUGGGGCUAAUACCGGAUAGGAGCUCCUGCUGCAUGGUGGGGGUUGGAAAGUUUCGGCGGUUGGGGAUGGACUCGCGGCUUAUCAGCUUGUUGGUGGGGUAGUGGCUUACCAAGGCUUUGACGGGUAGCCGGCCUGAGAGGGUGACCGGCCACAUUGGGACUGAGAUACAGCCCAGACUCCUACGGGAGGCAGCAGUGGGGAAUAUUGCACAAUGGGCGGAAGCCUGAUGCAGCAACGCCGCGUGCGGGAUGACGGCCUUCGGGUUGUAAACCGCUUUCGCCUGUGACGAAGCGUGAGUAACGGUAAUGGGUAGAGAAGCACCGGCUAACUACGUG
This 468-nucleotide ribosomal RNA is filed under the name uncultured bacterium. RNAcentral describes it as "partial 16S ribosomal RNA". It matches the Rfam family "Bacterial small subunit ribosomal RNA", at positions 28 to 507 of the family's 1533-position model. The record is from RNAcentral.